GAAAUGCGAUAAGUAAUGUGAAUUGCAGAAUUCAGUGAAUCAUCGAAUCUUUGAACGCACCUUGCGCUCCUUGGUAUUCCGAGGAGCAUGCCUGUUUGAGUGUCAUUAAAUUCUCAAUCCCUUCUGGGUUUAUUCUCAGCUGGGCUUGGAUAUGGGGGUUUUGCCGGCUUUGCAAAGGCAAAGUCAGCUCUCCUGAAAGACAUUAGCAAGACUCUUGUUGCAACCUUUCUAUCUGGUGUGAUAAUUAUCUACAUCAUAGAUUGUGCAUGGUUGGUCUGGCUUCUAAUAGUCCAUUAAAUUGGACAAAACUCUGACAAUUUGACCUCAAAUCAGGUAGGACUACCCGCUGAACUUAA
Molecule: unclassified non-coding RNA, 356 nt
Filed under: uncultured Tricholomataceae
Lineage: Eukaryota; Fungi; Basidiomycota; Agaricomycetes; Agaricales; Tricholomataceae
Description: sequence contains ITS1
Rfam family: 5.8S ribosomal RNA (bases 1-105)
Source: RNAcentral